AAAUGCCAGAUCAGUAGGGUUGGGCAUCGAGAACACAUUCCUAUUUGGAAUCGUUUCAAAAUUUACGAUUCCAGUAGAGUCGUUUCUUUAUUGGAAUCGUUUGGAGGAUUUUGGUUUCAAAUCCGAUCAUCGUUUCCCAAUUUAAAAUGCGCAAGUUUUGGUUUACGUAAGCAGCCAGGCGGUCGUUGUGUUGCAGCCAUGGAGCGCAGUAAGCGGCGCUCUAGUGUGGCUUUAUUUUAAAUUGAAAAAGCCCGGUAAAACUGCAACCCACCAUUGAAU
This is a long non-coding RNA of Etheostoma spectabile (orangethroat darter), 279 nucleotides long. RefSeq lists it as uncharacterized. The transcript is spliced from 3 exons. NCBI's taxonomy places the organism in Eukaryota, Metazoa, Chordata, Actinopteri, Perciformes, Percidae. The record is from RefSeq and is a predicted model, not a curated record.